CCCGGCGCUGUAUCCAGGUAAGUAAAAUCCAUUCCCUGUAGUGACCCUUUAAAGUUAUUAUUUAAUCAUUUAUAUAGCGACUGCAAAUUCCGUACUGCUGUAUAAUGGGAUAAACAACUCCUAGUUUACGGAAUAAGAAUAUACCCGGCGAGUAAAAAUGCUACCCCCCCAGAUUUUUUUGGGUUCCUACGCCCAUGAUUUAGAUGUGUUCCUUAUGUGUUUAGAUUGAGGGCACCCCUUUGUUUACAAAUUUAGUUUAAAAAAACAAAACAAUUAAUUUACCUGUAAUCUAACUCCAGAAUAGUCUACAUUCUGCAGUUGAUUCACCUUCUGUGAGAUCAUCAGUCAUUAUUAUUAUUGGCAUUUAUAUAGUUCCAACUUAUUUAAGCAGCGCUUUACAAUAUUAUUAAGUGGGAAAAUAAAGAACAAACUAUUACAUAUUUGGACAAGAAAAAUAAAUGGUUACUUGAUGAUCUCUCUAUCAAAUUCCAUGCUUCACAAAGAGAAGACUUUGGGACAUAGAGUGCAUGCAUGGCAAUUGCUGGGCUCCAGAAAUUGAAUGCUUCUCAUAUUGGGAAGUAUUAGGACCGUUACGUCUCAACAUGCUGUGCGUCAUUACACUGAACAUGAAAACCUUCAAAAAUCAAGGAACCCCUGUAAAAAUAUAGGGAGGCUUGGGAAUAGGAUGAUGUCAGGAUUACUAUUUGAUCCAGCACAUAGAAUUAAAUCACAGCAAGGACUAAUAGGUAACAUCUUACUAGGCCUUAGAAUGGCCUGACUAAACGUACCAGAGAAUAGUCAGAAUACUAGCCGAGGUCGGCAGUACAGAAAGAGACACUAGAAUUAGGGAAAGCCAGAAGUCAGGGCUACCAGAAUACAGGGAAGUCAAUACGAAGCCAAAGUCAAUAACCAGAAGAAAACGCUCAGAAACACACUCUCGGACAACCACUAGGGCAAUGAUGAAAAGGCAUAAGGAGUUUAAAUAAGCCUAUUUCAGCUCUGAUUGACCGAAAAUCGGCCUUUGACCCCAGAACGUGUGCGCGCGCGUCUCCCUCGUGACGUUACGCGCACGGUGAUGUCGUUAUCAACAUGGGCAGCUGUAGGGCUAUAAUUUGGCAUGGAUCCACAGUGGCCGGCGUCCAUCAGCAUGUUGCAGGGGUCAGGUAUACAGACACACGGCCACUGGGUGCAAAUGCCACAAAGUGAGGCUGAAGAAGUUACAGAUGGUUAUUAGGUUGCGC
Pelobates cultripes (western spadefoot toad) is the source of this 1241-nucleotide non-coding RNA. NCBI's taxonomy places the organism in Eukaryota, Metazoa, Chordata, Amphibia, Anura, Pelobatidae. The record is from the annotation of a GenBank genome assembly.